ACAUAACUAGACCUGGUCCAAAAGACCGGUGGUAGGAACCAUCACGUCGUCGCACCGCGUAGUGAAAUAGAAAAAUAAAGUAACAACACCUCUACUAUUGCAACUAAUGAACCACCACAGAUCCACCGUGACCAGCAAACUAACCGAUGUGAUCCACCGCUGAUCACCAUUGUUGUUCGCGACUCCUUUGUGAACAACAACGAAGGCUACCACAGAUCCACAAGCCUCACCAUGACUAGGAACACGAAUCACCACCGUUAUGCCUUGCCACCGUGACGCAAUGUAACUCCUGCUGUCAUGACUCCCUACACCAUGAGCGCCUUCCUACAAAUCCCACUGUGAGCCCCAAGGUUCUUAACCGUGACAGAGAACGUGAAGGAAGAAAAAGUUGCAUGCCUUCCUAGACUUGUAAGAAAAUCAUAACCAAAACCACCAGCAUUCAUGCGAAUGAAGCAAGAAACCGUGACGAGAAAACCAUCAUUCAUGGAAGACGAAGGAGCAGCCCGCUAGGGUUGGCUCCACCAUGGCACCAGCAAGGGAAGCAAAAACGUAAACCAGUGGUAGCAAGAAACCAAUAGAAUACGAGAUGAAGGAAGGAAAAAUCGUAAAACACAAAUUGGG
This 621-nucleotide long non-coding RNA is filed under the name Vigna radiata. Its description in RNAcentral is "long non-coding RNA (VRAD_LNC006981)". Lineage: Eukaryota; Viridiplantae; Streptophyta; Magnoliopsida; Fabales; Fabaceae. The record is from RNAcentral.